GGAAAAAAGAAAAUUCUACUCAAAUUUUGAGUUUAAGAUUGCCAUUUCCCCCCUCUAGGGGUGCCAUAAUCAUAUAUUUUCUUCCCUCAGCCCCCAUCCAUUGUGGGGCUGAGGUAGUAUAGACCAUCCAUCUGUGAAAGUCCCUCUGUGGGCCCCAUCUAUUGCAAAUUCCUGGAUCCGCCACUGGUGACACUACACUAAACAGCUCCAGGAUGCAAAACAAUACGCUACAGGUUUGCCAAGUAAGUCUGACAAUUGAGGGCGCUUUAACAAAGAACACUUGAGGAAUGGUAGAAUUAUUAUCAUCUUCUCAUACCCAGCGGCAAUCAUCACAAAUACUGAAUCUGCAACUACUGUAUAACCAAUUUACUUAAUAACUGAAGAAGAAUUUUUCUUGGACGAUCUGAAAAAUAGAAGUCUCGGGAAUCACCACCAAGAAGCAGAACCGCCAUCAGUAACUAAUUAUUUUUAGACACCGAGAGAAGGAAUUCUGAAAAGAUGAUAAAUGGGACGAUCGGAAGGCAGCAAGAACAUUAGAGAAACAUCAUCCACAGUGAGAUCAAACUUACUGGUCUAUACCCUAUGGGAAGGAUUGAAUGUUUUAAUGACGAAAAAUGGAGAGAAAAAUCGGUCAAUGGUCGACGAAACUUUGACCAACCCCUGGAGAGUUGCUUUGUAUGCGAAGCUAGGGAGCUACCCAUCGUUGUUAAUACACACAAUCCAUGGUAUUACAGAAGAUGUCAUAAUAAAAAAUAUCUUGGAAAACUUGAUGGAAAUUUUCAAUAUGGUUUCGUGCAUGAAAGGGAAGUUUAGAGCGACCAAUCAGAAGAGCUGUUGUAAAUAUGAUUGGCAGCUCAUUGAAGUGUUAAGAUUAGUCUGGUUUGGUAAUAAGUGGGUCUAUCAUGGUACUCAGGUGAUAUAAUGAAGCAUACGUUUUAAAGAUGUCAUGUGAUGUAAAGUUGGAAAUGUUUCAGUUUUUUUAAUGAAUCAUAAAGCUGCCCACACUGGGUUGCCAUGAAAGUGAACUUUUUACGUUAACGCUGUUAACUAUGCACAAGUCGUCCUAAGUUACCCGCAAAUCGUUGAUAAAAAUUAAAAUAAACAGAUCUCUUAAUUGGAUGCUACAGUAUAUAAAUUUAGUAAUAGUUUGUCAUUGUAGACAUGAAACUUGCACACGCAAACUGUAUGUAUGUAUAUAUAUAUAAAAUCAAACGAGUAGGUGGCUGCAUCGGCUUCAAUAAAAUAGUAA
Molecule: long non-coding RNA, 1249 nt
Organism: Anneissia japonica
Lineage: Eukaryota; Metazoa; Echinodermata; Crinoidea; Comatulida; Comatulidae
Exons: 4
Source: RefSeq, a predicted model, not a curated record